GUAAUCACUUGUCUUCUAAAUAAAGACUAGUAUGAACGGCUAAAUGAGGACAAAACUGUCUCUUAUGACUAAUCAGUGAAACUGAUCUACCAGUACAAAAGCUGGUAUUAAUACAUAAGACGAGAAGACCCUGUGGAGCUUAAAACAAACCACUACCCCCAUGAGACCCCUAGUGCACUGUUUUAAGUUGGGGCGACUUCGGAACAAAACAAAACUUCCGAGCACAGAUCCACCAGAUCAAACCAAGGCCUACAAGCCAAAAUAAAAACUGACCCGGCCCAAGCCGAUCAACGAACCAAGUUACCCCAGGGAUAACAGCGCUAUCUUCUUCAAGAGUCCAUAUCGACAAGAAGGUUUACGACCUCGAUGUUGGAUCAGGACACCCAAGUGGUGCAGCCGCUACUAAAGGUUCGUUUGUUCAACGAUUAACAGU
This 433-nucleotide ribosomal RNA is filed under the name Eutropis multifasciata (many-lined sun skink). Its description in RNAcentral is "partial 16S ribosomal RNA". It matches the Rfam family "Bacterial large subunit ribosomal RNA", at positions 1961 to 2594 of the family's 2925-position model. The record is from RNAcentral. Lineage: Eukaryota; Metazoa; Chordata; Lepidosauria; Squamata; Scincidae.